This 99-nucleotide small RNA is filed under the name Drosophila guanche. Lineage: Eukaryota; Metazoa; Arthropoda; Insecta; Diptera; Drosophilidae. The record is from RNAcentral.
CUGCUGCUGCUGUUGCUGUUGCUGCUGCUGCAGCUGAUGUUGCUGUUGCUGCUGCUGCAGCUGAUGUUGCUGCAGCUGUUGCUGAUGUUGCUGCAGCUG